UGGGGAAUAUUGCGCAAUGGGCGAAAGCCUGACGCAGCGACGCCGCGUGAGGGAUGAAGGUUUUCGGAUCGUAAACCUCUGUCAGAAGGGAAGAAACCGCACUGUGCUAAUCAGCAGUGCCUUGACGGUACCUUCAAAGGAAGCACCGGCUAACUCCGUGCCAGCAGCCGCGGUAAUACGGAGGGUGCAAGCGUUAAUCGGAAUUACUGGGCGUAAAGCGCACGUAGGCUGCUUUGUAAGUCAGGGGUGAAAUCCCACGGCUCAACCGUGGAACUGCCUUUGAUACUGCUUAGCUUGAAUCCGGGAGAGGGUGGCGAAAUUCCAGGUGUAGGAGUGAAAUCCGUAGAUAUCUGGGGGAACAUCAGUGGCGAGGGCGGCCACCUGGACCGAUAUUGACGCUGAGGUGCGAAAGCGUGGGGAGCAAACAGG
RNAcentral lists this ribosomal RNA (429 nucleotides) under Fusobacteriota bacterium. RNAcentral describes it as "Fusobacteria bacterium partial 16S ribosomal RNA". It matches the Rfam family "Bacterial small subunit ribosomal RNA", at positions 355 to 776 of the family's 1533-position model. Lineage: Bacteria; Fusobacteriati; Fusobacteriota. The record is from RNAcentral.